UAUGCUAGUCUAAGCGUUUAGGCAGUUACGGUAGGCAAAUCCGCUGUAACGUUAAUGCUGAGGCGUGAUGGGGAAGGCCCUUGAGGCUGAAGUACAUGAUUCCAUGCUUCCAAGAAAAGCAUCUAGAGAGAGAAGUAGUGCCCGUACCGCAAACCGACACAGGUAGAUGAGGAGAGAAUCCUAAGGCCGGCGGAAGAAUUGCAGUUAAGGAACUAGGCAAAUUGACCCCGUAAGUUAGCGAGAAGGGGUGCCUGCGAGAGCAGGCCGCAGAGAAUAGGCCCAAGCAACUGUUUAGCAAAAACACAGGUCUCUGCUAAAGCGCAAGCUGAUGUAUAGGGGCUGACGCCUGCCCGGUGCUGGAAGGUUAAGGGGAACACUUAGCGCAAGCGAAGGUGUGAACUUAAGCCCCAGUAAACGGCGGCCGUAACAAUAACGGUCCUAAGGUAGCGAAAUUCCUUGUCAGGUAAGUUCUGACCCGCACGAAUGGCGUAAUGACUUGGGCACUGUCUCAACUGCAAAUCCGGCGAAGUUGUAGUGCGAGUGAAGAUGCUCGCUACCCGCGAUUGGACGGAAAGACCCCGUAGAGCUUUACUGUAGCUUAGCAUUGAAUUCCGGUAUUGUCUGUACAGGAUAGGUGGGAGACUGGGAAACUAGGGCGUCAGCCUUAGUGGAGUCGUCCUUGGGAUACCACCCUGACAGUACUGGGGUUCUAACAGGACGCCAUGAAUCUGGUGACUGGACAUUGUUAGGUGGGCAGUUUGACUGGGGCGGUCGCCUCCUAAAAAGUAACGGAGGCGCCCAAAGGUUCCCUCAGAACGGUCGGAAAUCGUUCGUAGAGUGCAAAGGCAGAAGGGAGCCUGACUGCGAGACCUACAAGUCGAGCAGGGACGAAAGUCGGGCUUAGUGAUCCGGUGGUACCUCGUGGGAGGGCCAUCGCUCAACGGAUAAAAGCUACCUCGGGGAUAACAGGCUGAUCUCCCCCAAGAGUCCACAUCGACGGGGAGGUUUGGCACCUCGAUGUCGGCUCGUCGCAUCCUGGGGCUGUAGUAGGUCCCAAGGGUUGGGCUGUUCGCCCAUUAAAGCGGCACGCGAGCUGGGUUCAGAACGUCGUGAGACAGUUCGGUCCCUAUCCGUCGCGGGCGUAGGAAAUUUGAGAGGAGCUGUCCUUAGUACGAGAGGACCGGGAUGGACUGACCUCUGGUGCACCAGUUGUUCUGCCAAGAGCAUGGCUGGGUAGCUAAGUCGGGAGGGGAUAAACGCUGAAAGCAUCUAAGCGUGAAGCCUCCCUCAAGAUGAGAUUUCCCAUAGCAUAAGCUAGUAAGACCCCUUGAAGAACACGAGGUUGAUAGGUCAGAGGUGUAAGUGUGGUAACAUAUUUAGCUGACUGAUACUAAUAGGUCGAGGGCUUGACCGA
Molecule: ribosomal RNA, 1414 nt
Filed under: metagenome
Description: bacterial LSU rRNA
Rfam family: Bacterial large subunit ribosomal RNA
Source: RNAcentral